GCAUUCAAAUCCUAUGAAGGGUAAGAUGAUAUCAAUCAUCACACUAAUGAAACAUGUGAGUUAUUAUAACAGUUUGUCUGAGUUUGUUGGUUUUUUAUGCAUGCAGGAUUGGUCAUUACACAGUUCCAAGAGAGAUGGGUGAAGUUUCCACCUGGCUUAGUUCAAGGUUAUUACAUGCUAACAUUAGGUUAAUUAGGCAUAUUUAGGGAUAAACUGUAAUUGGAUAAAUUAAUUGUUGGAAUAAGUCCCUACAUGUUUGAAAUGAUGAAAACUCAUGGAAUCUAGGGAAAAGAAUUGAUUUAUAAACUGUUUGGAAUUGGCUGUAUUGAUAAUUAUGCAGGUUCCUCGCGUUUGAAACGACUCAAGGAGGUUAUGCAUCGGUGCAUACAUGUCUCUGUAACUGAAAAUGCGUUUGAAACUCACUGAGGCUUAAUUAGGAGUCUCACCCCACUAUUAUUUGUUUCAGAUAAGCUUGCAGAAUAUGGUAAGAGGCCUAUGGAGUAGUAGAUGAUGAUGUGCUUGCAGUNNNNNNNNNNNNNNNNNNNNNNNNNNNNNNNNNNNNNNCAUCGAUACAUAUGUCGCAUGAACUGGUACAUAGAGCCAGAACUUAUUUUUCCGAACAACCUUGGUUAUUGGCACCGGUACAUAUUUCCUUUGAACCGAUGCAUCCUGAGACAAGUUUUGUAUUUUAAAAUAAUUAGAUUCCAUGGUUUCAUAUUUUCCCACAUGCUUUAAAAUCAAUCUAGACUAAGAUUUAGGUGACGAAAUUAUGAUUAUUAGAAUUACCCGGGAUGGCCGUUAAGUUAAGAACACUAAGAAAUUAUAAUAGUCGAGUAGAUUAGUGGUUAAUUAACACCCAAACCACUAUUCAGUAUAGUCUCGACUAUAGUAAGAUUUCCGUACAUUAGUAGGAAUCCUUUAAGUUAAGUAAUUAAUGUGAGUAAGACCAACGUGACAUAGCUAUGUCACAACGGGUAGUGGAGAACAUCCUAAGAGUAGUACAUCCUUAGUGGACCUUUCGAGAUAUACUCACCUCGGAAGUUUCCUUUAAAAUGAAUAAGAUUAACUUGUGUGAUACACUUUAUAUUAUGAUGUUUAUUAUGUUUUACAUAAAUAUCGAUAUUCAGUUCACUUUAGCGAAUCAGUGUUAGUGCACAAAGUAGCGGGUAGCAAGAAACUCACUGAGGCUUAAUUAGGAGUCUCACCCCACUAUUAUUUGUUUCAGAUAAGCUUGCAGAAUAUGGUAAGAGGCCUAUGGAGUAGUAGAUGAUGAUGUGCUUGCAGUGCUCCUUAAUUUCACAUGUUUUGUAUUUUGUAUCAUGACUUGUAGACAUGUUGUAUCAUGACUUGUGACAAUUAUGUAUUAAGACUAUGGUAUCAGUACUAUUUCAAUGUUAAGUACCUUGAAUGCACAAGAUCUCUAUUAAAAUUUUAAUGUAUUUUAGUACUGUUAUGUACAUGCUAUAUCACAUUCUAGAUAUUCGAUAUGGGAUGUUAUACAUGGUAUAGCUUGAAGAUAACUUAAUAUGAACUAGAAGCAUGAUUGAAUGUCUCUAGAAAAAAAAACCAUACAAAAGCUACAAAAAAACGAAAAAAAAAAAUAAAAAUAAAACUAACAUACCACUACUG
Molecule: long non-coding RNA, 1629 nt
Filed under: Trifolium pratense (red clover)
Lineage: Eukaryota; Viridiplantae; Streptophyta; Magnoliopsida; Fabales; Fabaceae
Description: long non-coding RNA (TPRA_LNC004277)
Source: RNAcentral